UCGUGGUUAGAAAGUGGUCGCCUCUCGUUUACACCGAGAGGGUCGGGGGUUCGAGCCCCUCACCGCCCACCA
RNAcentral lists this transfer RNA (72 nucleotides) under Novosphingobium guangzhouense. RNAcentral's name for it is "tRNA-Val". Lineage: Bacteria; Pseudomonadati; Pseudomonadota; Alphaproteobacteria; Sphingomonadales; Sphingomonadaceae. The record is from RNAcentral.